RNAcentral lists this ribosomal RNA (1374 nucleotides) under Leuconostoc citreum. RNAcentral describes it as "bacterial SSU rRNA". It matches the Rfam family "Bacterial small subunit ribosomal RNA", at positions 65 to 1424 of the family's 1533-position model. The record is from RNAcentral. Lineage: Bacteria; Bacillati; Bacillota; Bacilli; Lactobacillales; Lactobacillaceae.
CGCAGCGAGAGGUGCUUGCACCUUUCAAGCGAGUGGCGAACGGGUGAGUAACACGUGGAUAACCUGCCUCAAGGCUGGGGAUAACAUUUGGAAACAGAUGCUAAUACCGAAUAAAACUUAGUAUCGCAUGAUAUCAAGUUAAAAGGCGCUACGGCGUCACCUAGAGAUGGAUCCGCGGUGCAUUAGUUAGUUGGUGGGGUAAAGGCUUACCAAGACGAUGAUGCAUAGCCGAGUUGAGAGACUGAUCGGCCACAUUGGGACUGAGACACGGCCCAAACUCCUACGGGAGGCUGCAGUAGGGAAUCUUCCACAAUGGGCGCAAGCCUGAUGGAGCAACGCCGCGUGUGUGAUGAAGGCUUUCGGGUCGUAAAGCACUGUUGUAUGGGAAGAAAUGCUAAAAUAGGGAAUGAUUUUAGUUUGACGGUACCAUACCAGAAAGGGACGGCUAAAUACGUGCCAGCAGCCGCGGUAAUACGUAUGUCCCGAGCGUUAUCCGGAUUUAUUGGGCGUAAAGCGAGCGCAGACGGUUGAUUAAGUCUGAUGUGAAAGCCCGGAGCUCAACUCCGGAAUGGCAUUGGAAACUGGUUAACUUGAGUGUUGUAGAGGUAAGUGGAACUCCAUGUGUAGCGGUGGAAUGCGUAGAUAUAUGGAAGAACACCAGUGGCGAAGGCGGCUUACUGGACAACAACUGACGUUGAGGCUCGAAAGUGUGGGUAGCAAACAGGAUUAGAUACCCUGGUAGUCCACACCGUAAACGAUGAAUACUAGGUGUUAGGAGGUUUCCGCCUCUUAGUGCCGAAGCUAACGCAUUAAGUAUUCCGCCUGGGGAGUACGACCGCAAGGUUGAAACUCAAAGGAAUUGACGGGGACCCGCACAAGCGGUGGAGCAUGUGGUUUAAUUCGAAGCAACGCGAAGAACCUUACCAGGUCUUGACAUCCUUUGAAGCUUUUAGAGAUAGAAGUGUUCUCUUCGGAGACAAAGUGACAGGUGGUGCAUGGUCGUCGUCAGCUCGUGUCGUGAGAUGUUGGGUUAAGUCCCGCAACGAGCGCAACCCUUAUUGUUAGUUGCCAGCAUUCAGUUGGGCACUCUAGCGAGACUGCCGGUGACAAACCGGAGGAAGGCGGGGACGACGUCAGAUCAUCAUGCCCCUUAUGACCUGGGCUACACACGUGCUACAAUGGCGUAUACAACGAGUUGCCAACCUGCGAAGGUGAGCUAAUCUCUUAAAGUACGUCUCAGUUCGGACUGCAGUCUGCAACUCGACUGCACGAAGUCGGAAUCGCUAGUAAUCGCGGAUCAGCACGCCGCGGUGAAUACGUUCCCGGGUCUUGUACACACCGACCCGUCACACCAUGGGAGUUUGUAAUGCCCAA